UUGGCAGACCACCUUAUCGCCGUAUGACAAACUUGAUUCCAAAUCCGACAAAAUUUGGAGUCAAGUUAGGAUUAAGGAGGAAAGUCCGGACACCGUAGUACAGCAUAGCGGGUAACGCCCGUCCGUUGAAAGAUGAGGACCAGUGCAACAGAAAGCAAGUACAGUUAGGCUGUAGUGAAAUCAGGUAAACUCUAUGCGGUGAAACGCCAUGUAAACCAAUGUUUGAGGGUUGUACGCCCAAAUUGGAGGGUAGGCGGUUAGAGCUUUUGGGCAACCAAAAGCCUAGAUAAAUGGUAAGGCUCGACAGAAUCCGGCUUAUGGUCUGCCUUUUUA
This 333-nucleotide RNase P RNA is filed under the name Flagellimonas nanhaiensis. Its description in RNAcentral is "Allomuricauda nanhaiensis Bacterial RNase P class A". It matches the Rfam family "Bacterial RNase P class A". From Rfam's summary of the family: Ribonuclease P (RNase P) is a ubiquitous endoribonuclease, found in archaea, bacteria and eukarya as well as chloroplasts and mitochondria. Its best characterised activity is the generation of mature 5'-ends of tRNAs by cleaving the 5'-leader elements of precursor-tRNAs. Lineage: Bacteria; Pseudomonadati; Bacteroidota; Flavobacteriia; Flavobacteriales; Flavobacteriaceae. The record is from Rfam by way of RNAcentral.